This 497-nucleotide ribosomal RNA is filed under the name uncultured bacterium. RNAcentral describes it as "partial 16S ribosomal RNA". It matches the Rfam family "Bacterial small subunit ribosomal RNA", at positions 28 to 507 of the family's 1533-position model. The record is from RNAcentral.
GAUGAACGCUGGCGGCGUGCCUAAUACAUGCAAGUCGAGCGAACAGACGAGGAGCUUGCUCCUUUGACGUUAGCGGCGGACGGGUGAGUAACACGUAGGUAACCCACCUAUAAGACUGGGAUAACUUCGGGAAACCGGAGCUAAUACCGGAUAAUAUUUCGAACCGCAUGGUUCGAUAGUGAAAGAUGGCUUUGCUAUCACUUAUAGAUGGACCUGCGCCGUAUUAGCUAGUUGGUAAGGUAACGGCUUACCAAGGCAACGAUACGUAGCCGACCUGAGAGGGUGAUCGGCCACACUGGAACUGAGACACGGUCCAGACUCCUACGGGAGGCAGCAGUAGGGAAUCUUCCGCAAUGGGCGAAAGCCUGACGGAGCAACGCCGCGUGAGUGAUGAAGGUCUUCGGAUCGUAAAACUCUGUUAUUAGGGAAGAACAAACGUGUAAGUAACUGUGCACGUCUUGACGGUACCUAAUCAGAAAGCCACGGCUAACUACGUG